This 1678-nucleotide long non-coding RNA is filed under the name Zonotrichia albicollis (white-throated sparrow). RNAcentral describes it as "lncRNA (ENSZALG00000003260.1)". The record is from RNAcentral. Lineage: Eukaryota; Metazoa; Chordata; Aves; Passeriformes; Passerellidae.
UUCUCCUGUUGCCACCUGGACACAGAUGUGUGGGCCACAAAAGCAAAUUAAUCUUUUUGGGAUUCGCCUUCUCGGCGGAUGCUGGAAAUGACGAAUUAAUUCAGGUGGUUUGUGGCGGAGCCGAUUUUUCUCCUUGCCGGAGGAACCCAGCGGAAAAUGGAGGCUGCAAGCAGCAAUUACGUGCUCGGCGUUGGCAAGGAGGAGGAUUCGCUUCGGAGGGGAAAAACCAACAGCCAGCAGAAAUUCUGUUUGCAGAAGCAGAGCCGCUGCACAUCAAUCAGCAGCACGGAUCGUUAAUGAAUUUUUAAUUCCUUGCGGAAGCCAUCAGGGCUGAACCUUCCCCACCAGCGCAUCCAGGGCAGAUCUUUAAUGGAUUUUUGGCAUCCGGGGGUAAAAUCCUGCAGCUCCUCGGGAUCCUGGUGGAAAUGCUGCCCCGGGCCCUGGGCCAGCCCUGCAAUCGUUCAUUUGCUCAGGAAAUGCUGUGGUCUGGGCAGGGAGCAAAGUUCAUCUCCUGCACGGCCUCUCAUUGAUUUAUUUCGUGUUGGUUUUUAUGGCUUGGGUUCAUCCAAGAUGUUUUGUUCAGCCAGCCCUGGCUCUGCAAAGGCUGGGUGGGUAUUUAACCCGCUGGGGUUAAAAUCUUCAUCCAUUGGGGUUAAAAUGGUCAUUUAUUUGGGUUAAAAAUGGUCAUCCAUUGGGGUUAAAAAUGUUCAUUUAUUUGGGUUAAAAUGUCCAUCCAUUUGGGUUAAAAAUGUUCAUUUAUUUGAGUUAAAAUGUUCAUUGAUUGGGGUUUAAAAUGUUCAUUUAUUUGGGGUUUAAAAUGUUCAUCCAUUGGGGUUAAAAAUGUCCAUCCAUUGGGGUUUAAAAUGUUCAUUUAUUUGGGUUAAAAUGUCCAUCCAUUGGGAUUCAAAUAUUCAUUUAUUUGGGUUAAAAUGUUCAUCCAUUGGGGUUAAAAUGUUCACUUAUUUGGGUUAAAAAUGUCCAUCCAUUUGGGUUAAAAAUGUUCAUCCAUUUGGGUUAAAAUGUUCAUUUAUUUGGGGUUAAAAUGUCCAUCCAUUUGGGUUAAAAAUGUUCAUCCAUUGGGGUUUAAAAUGUUCAUUUAUUUGGGUUAAAAUGUCCAUUCAUUUGGGUUAAAAUGUUCAUUUAUUGGGGUUUAAAUCUUCAUCCAUUUGGGUUAAAAAUAUCCAUCCAUUGGGAUUCAAAUAUUCAUUUAUUUGAGUUAAAAUGUCCAUCCAUUGGGGUUAAAAUGUUCAUUUAUUUGUGUUAAAAUGUCCAUCCAUUGGGGUUAAAAUGUUCAUUUAUUUGAGUUAAAAUCUUCAUCCAUUGGGGUUAAAAUGUUCAUUUAUUUGGGUUAAAAUGUUCAUUUAUUUGAGGUUUAAAAUGUUCAUUUAUUUGGGGUUAAAAAUGUUCAUCCAUUGGGAUUCAAAUAUUUAUUUAUUUGGGUUAAAAUGUUCAUCCUUUGAGGUUUAAAAUGUUCAUUUAUUUGGGUUAAAAUGUCCAUCCAUUGGGGUUAAAAUGUUCAUCCAUUGGGGUUAAAAUGUUUAUUUAUUGGGGUUUAAAUGUCCAUCCAUUGGAGCUAAAAAUGUCCAUCCAUGGGGUUAUGAUUAUUUUAGGGUUAGAAAUCUUUAUCUAUUGGGGUUUAAAAUCUUUAUCCAUUGGGGUUAUGAUUAUUUAGGGUUAG